CCUACGGGGGGCAGCAGUGAGGAAUAUUGGUCAAUGGGCGCUAGCCUGAACCAGCCAAGUAGCGUGAAGGAUGACUGCCCUAGGGGUUGUAAACUUCUUUUAUAUGGGAAUAAAGUGCAGUAUGUAUACUGCUUUGCAUGUACCUUAUGAAUAAGGAUCGGCUAACUCCGUGCCAGCAGCCGCGGUAAUACGGAGGAUCCGAGCGUUAGCCGGAUUUAUUGGGUUUAAAGGGGGCGUAGGCGGGUUGUUAAGUCAGUUGUGAAAGUUUGCGGCUAAACCGUAAAAUUGCAGUUGAUACUGGCAGCCUUGAGUACAGUAGAGGUAGGCGGAAUUCGUGGUGUAGCGGUGAAAUGCUUAGAUAUCACGAAGAACUCCGAUUGCGAAGGCAGCCUGCUGGACUGUAACUGACGCUGAUGCUCGAAAGUGUGGGUAUCAAACAGGAUUAGAUACCCGAGUAGUC
Molecule: ribosomal RNA, 460 nt
Filed under: uncultured bacterium
Lineage: Bacteria
Description: partial 16S ribosomal RNA
Rfam family: Bacterial small subunit ribosomal RNA
Source: RNAcentral